This 497-nucleotide ribosomal RNA is filed under the name uncultured bacterium. RNAcentral's name for it is "partial 16S ribosomal RNA". It matches the Rfam family "Bacterial small subunit ribosomal RNA", at positions 28 to 507 of the family's 1533-position model. The record is from RNAcentral.
GAUGAACGCUGGCGGCGUGCCUAAUACAUGCAAGUCGAGCGAACAGACGAGGAGCUUGCUCCUCUGACGUUAGCGGCGGACGGGUGAGUAACACGUGGAUAACCUACCUAUAAGACUGGGAUAACUUCGGGACACCGGAGCUAAUACCGGAUAAUAUAUUGAACCGCAUGGUUCAAUAGUGAAAGACGGUUUUGCUGUCACUUAUCGAUGGAUCCGCGCCGCAUUAGCUAGUUGGUAAGGUAACGGCUUACCAAGGCAACGAUGCGUAGCCGACCUGAGAGGGUGAUCGGCCACACUGGAACGGAGACACGGUCCAGACUCCUACGGGAGGCAGCAGUAGGGAAUCUUCCGCAAUGGGCGAAAGCUUGACGGAGCAACGCCGCGUGAGUGAUGAAGGUCUUCGGAUCGUAAAACUCUGUUAUUAGGGAAGAACAAAUGUGUAAGUAACUAUGCACGUCUUGACGGUACCUAAUCAGAAAGCCACGGCUAACUACGUG